CACGUAAAAAACAAGCGUUGUCCGGAAUCAUUGGGCGUAAAGAGCUCGUAGGCGGCUCAGUAAGUCGAAUGUGAAACCCCCAGACUCAACCUGGAGACGCCACCCGAUACUGCUGUGGCUAGAGUCCAGUAGGGGAGAGUGGAAUUCCUGGUGUAGCGGUGAAAUGCGCAGAUAUCAGGAAGAACACCCGUGGCGAAGGCGGCUCUCUGGACCGAGACUGACGCUGAGGCGCGAAGGCGUGGGGAGCAAACAGG
This 254-nucleotide ribosomal RNA is filed under the name uncultured bacterium. RNAcentral describes it as "partial 16S ribosomal RNA". It matches the Rfam family "Bacterial small subunit ribosomal RNA", at positions 524 to 776 of the family's 1533-position model. The record is from RNAcentral.